GAGUUUGAUCAUGGCUCAGGAUGAACGCUGGCGGCGUGCUUAACACAUGCAAGUCGAACGAACCUUCGGGUUAGUGGCGGACGGGUGAGUAACGCGUGGGAAUCUGCCCUCAGGAGGGGGAUAACGGCUGGAAACGGCCGCUAAUACCCCAUAUGCCGAGAGGUGAAAUGAAUUUCGCCUGAGGAUGAGCCCGCGUCUGAUUAGCUAGUUGGUGAGGUAAGAGCUCACCAAGGCAUCGAUCAGUAGCUGGUCUGAGAGGAUGAUCAGCCACACUGGGACUGAGACACGGCCCAGACUCCUACGGGAGGCAGCAGUGGGGAAUUUUCCGCAAUGGGCGAAAGCCUGACGGAGCAACGCCGCGUGAGGGAUGAAGGCCUCUGGGCUGUAAACCUCUUUUCUCAAGGAAGAAGAUCUGACGGUACUUGAGGAAUAAGCCACGGCUAAUUCCGUGCCAGCAGCCGCGGUAAUACGGGAGUGGCAAGCGUUAUCCGGAAUUAUUGGGCGUAAAGCGUCCGCAGGCGGCCCUUCAAGUCUGCUGUUAAAAAGUGGAGCUUAACUCCAUCAUGGCAGUGGAAACUGUUGGGCUUGAGUGUGGUAGGGGCAGAGGGAAUUCCCGGUGUAGCGGUGAAAUGCGUAGAUAUCGGGAAGAACACCAGUGGCGAAGGCGCUCUGCUGGGCCAUAACUGACGCUCAUGGACGAAAGCCAGGGGAGCGAAAGGGAUUAGAUACCCCUGUAGUCCUGGCCGUAAACGAUGAACACUAGGUGUCGGGGGAAUCGACCCCCUCGGUGUCGUAGCCAACGCGUUAAGUGUUCCGCCUGGGGAGUACGCACGCAAGUGUGAAACUCAAAGGAAUUGACGGGGGCCCGCACAAGCGGUGGAGUAUGUGGUUUAAUUCGAUGCAACGCGAAGAACCUUACCAGGGUUUGACAUCCUGCGAACCUCUUGGAAACGAGAGGGUGCCUUCGGGAACGCAGUGACAGGUGGUGCAUGGCUGUCGUCAGCUCGUGUCGUGAGAUGUUGGGUUAAGUCCCGCAACGAGCGCAACCCACGUCUUUAGUUGCCAGCAUUCAGUUGGGCACUCUAGAGAGACCGCCGGUGAUAAACCGGAGGAAGGUGUGGAUGACGUCAAGUCAUCAUGCCCCUUACAUCCUGGGCUACACACGUACUACAAUGCUACGGACAAAGAGCAGCAAGUUCGCGAGGACAAGCAAAUCUCAUAAACCGUGGCUCAGUUCAGAUCGUAGGCUGCAACUCGCCUACGUGAAGGAGGAAUCGCUAGUAAUCGCAGGUCAGCAUACUGCGGUGAAUACGU
RNAcentral lists this ribosomal RNA (1314 nucleotides) under unidentified marine bacterioplankton. RNAcentral's name for it is "bacterial SSU rRNA". It matches the Rfam family "Bacterial small subunit ribosomal RNA", at positions 9 to 1371 of the family's 1533-position model. The record is from RNAcentral.